This 29-nucleotide non-coding RNA is filed under the name Mus musculus (house mouse). Lineage: Eukaryota; Metazoa; Chordata; Mammalia; Rodentia; Muridae. The record is from RNAcentral.
UGAGUGAAGCGGACACCCGUCGUGACAGG